GACGGGUGAGUAACACGUGGAUAACCUACCUAUAAGACUGGGAUAACUUCGGGAAACCGGAGCUAAUACCGGAUAAUAUAUUGAACCGCAUGGUUCAAUAGUGAAAGACGGUUUUGCUGUCACUUAUAGAUGGAUCCGCGCCGCAUUAGCUAGUUGGUAAGGUAACGGCUUACCAAGGCGACGAUGCGUAGCCGACCUGAGAGGGUGAUCGGCCACACUGGAACUGAGACACGGUCCAG
RNAcentral lists this ribosomal RNA (239 nucleotides) under uncultured Staphylococcus sp. RNAcentral's name for it is "partial 16S ribosomal RNA". It matches the Rfam family "Bacterial small subunit ribosomal RNA", at positions 102 to 334 of the family's 1533-position model. The record is from RNAcentral. Lineage: Bacteria; Bacillati; Bacillota; Bacilli; Caryophanales; Staphylococcaceae.